GUCAGCUCUGUCCCCUCCCUUGUCAGACUUCUCGUUGUGUUUUUCAGGGCUUCCUCUUGGACCGACUCCCAUCAACGUCUACGUGUGUCCCAUUGUGUGUUUCCCAAAACUUGAGACCCAGUGCUACCCAUUCCAGAACAUUCCAUCAUUAUGAAUAGCAGCAGAAGGGUGAUGGUGUAGUCAACUCCCAUGAAGGUGGCCAAGGCAAGAAGAAGGAUGGCCAGCCUAGGGGUCUCAGCAGUAACCACCUGGCUUAUAGCAUCCUGGAUAUCCCACCAUGGUAUCUCUGUAUCUUCUUGGGAGUGCAGCACUUCCUCACAGCCCUGGGGGGACUCGUGGCAGUUCCACUCAUCCUGGCCAAGGACCUGUGUUUGCAGCAUGACCCCCUGACCCAGAGCUACCUCAUCAGCACCAUUUUCUUCGUCUC
This 427-nucleotide long non-coding RNA is filed under the name Delphinapterus leucas (beluga whale). RNAcentral's name for it is "lncRNA (ENSDLEG00000021507.1)". Lineage: Eukaryota; Metazoa; Chordata; Mammalia; Artiodactyla; Monodontidae. The record is from RNAcentral.